AUCCUUUUGUAGUUUAUAAGCGUGAUGAUUGGGUUUUCAUGCACAUGCAUGAGACGUGCCUCCCACAAAUCGUGUUAUGACAUUGGCACAUUACCCGUCUGACC
This is a small nucleolar RNA of Otolemur garnettii (small-eared galago), 104 nucleotides long. The record is from Ensembl. NCBI's taxonomy places the organism in Eukaryota, Metazoa, Chordata, Mammalia, Primates, Galagidae.